Molecule: unclassified non-coding RNA, 334 nt
Filed under: soil metagenome
Description: partial contains 5.8S ribosomal RNA, internal transcribed spacer 2, and large subunit ribosomal RNA
Rfam family: 5.8S ribosomal RNA (bases 1-120)
Source: RNAcentral
GAUGAAGAACGUAGCGAAAUGCGAUAAGUAAUGUGAAUUGCAGAAUUCAGUGAAUCAUCGAAUCUUUGAACACACAUUGCGCCCGCCAGUAUUCUGGCGGGCAUGCCUGUUCGAGCGUCAUUUCAACCAUCAAGCCCCAGGCUUGUGUUGGAGCCCUGCGGCUGCCGCAGCCUCCCAAAACCAGUGGCGGGCUCGCUAUCACACCGAGUGCAGUAGUUUACUCUUCGCUCAGGGCGUGUGGCGGGUGCUAGCCGUAAAACCCCCAACUUCUCAAGGUUGACCUCGGAUCAGGUAGGAAUACCCGCUGAACUUAAGCAUAUCAAUAAGCGGAGGA